UAUAGACCCCUUUCCCAUUCACAACUCAACACUUACAAGGCAACGCACCAAAUCCACACAAACGAAUAAUAUCCAAUUCUCUCUAGAGGUUUCAUCAUGAAAGGAGCUAAAUCAAAGGCUAAAGCUGAUACCAAGCUUGGUGUAAGGAAGAAGGCUACUGAGAGUAAGAAGGCGAAGAACGCUGCUAAGGAUCCAAACAAGCCUAAGAGGCCUCCAAGUGCCUUCUUCGUUUUCAUGGAGGAGUUUAGGAAGACCUACAAGGAGAAGCACCCAAACAACAAAUCUGUUGCUGUUGUUGGCAAAGCUGGUGGAGACAAGUGGAAACAGUUGUCAGAUGAAGAGAAAGCUCCUUACCAAGCCAAGGCUGAGAAGAGGAAGGCUGAGUACCAAAAGAGCAUGGAUGCAUAUAACAAGAAACUGGCUGCUGGUGAUGCUGAUGAUGAGUCUGACAAGUCCAAGUCUGAGGUACAUGAUGAUGAUGAGGACGAUGAUGGAAGUGAAGAGGAGGAUGAUGAUUAAACAAUCAGUAGGCUGUUGAAAUUCAGAGAAUGAUGGAUAAGUUCAUGUAGGAAUUGCUCAGUCCUUCCUUGAUAAAUAGAUGCCCUCUUUUUUUACAUUUUUUGUCUAGUUUUUGUUCUUUGAGGGUUUAGUUUGGACAGAAAGGUGAAAUUCAGAUGACUUGCCUUGAAAGCUCAAGUAGUUUAUGUAAUUUCUCUAUUUUGCUGAUGUUAAUGAAAAUUUAGCUUGG
Molecule: unclassified non-coding RNA, 748 nt
Filed under: Hevea brasiliensis (rubber tree)
Lineage: Eukaryota; Viridiplantae; Streptophyta; Magnoliopsida; Malpighiales; Euphorbiaceae
Source: RNAcentral